UGAACGCUGGCGGCGUGCCUAACACAUGCAAGUCGAACGGAGAAUUACGCUGAUGAAGCUUCGGCAGAUUCUGUAAAUCUAGUGGCGGACGGGUGAGUAACGCGUGGGCAACCUGCCUCAUACUGGGGGAUAACAGCUGGAAACGACUGUUAAUACCGCAUAAGCGCACGGUAUCGCAUGAUACAGUGUGAAAAACUCCGGUGGUAUGAGAUGGGCCCGCGUCAGAUUAGCCAGUUGGCAGGGUAACGGCCUACCAAAGCGACGAUCUGUAGCCGGCCUGAGAGGGCGGACGGCCACAUUGGGACUGAGACACGGCCCAAACUCCUACGGGAGGCAGCAGUGGGGGAUAUUGCACAAUGGAGGAAACUCUGAUGCAGCGACGCCGCGUGAAGUGAAGAAGUAUUUCGGUAUGUAAAGCUCUAUCAGCAGGGAAGAAAGACUCGUAAGAGAGAUGACGGUACCUGACUAAGAAGCCCCGGCUAACUACGUGCCAGCCGCUGC
Molecule: ribosomal RNA, 501 nt
Filed under: uncultured bacterium
Lineage: Bacteria
Description: bacterial SSU rRNA
Rfam family: Bacterial small subunit ribosomal RNA
Source: RNAcentral